RNAcentral lists this ribosomal RNA (464 nucleotides) under uncultured bacterium. RNAcentral's name for it is "partial 16S ribosomal RNA". It matches the Rfam family "Bacterial small subunit ribosomal RNA", at positions 339 to 795 of the family's 1533-position model. The record is from RNAcentral.
CUACGGGCGGCAGCAGUGAGGAAUUUUGCGCAAUGGGGGAAACCCUGACGCAGCAACGCCGCGUGAGCGAAGAAGGCCCUCGGGUCGUAAAGCUCUGUCAAGUGGGAAAAAAAUUUUUUGAUCAAUAGUCAAAAGACUUGAUGGUACCACUGGAGGAAGCACCGGCUAACUCCGUGCCAGCAGCCGCGGUAAUACGGAGGGUGCGAGCGUUGUUCGGAUUUACUGGGCGUAAAGGGCGUGUAGGCGGUUUAGCAAGUCAGAUGUGAAAGCCCUGGGCUCAACCCGGGAAGUGCAUUUGAAACUGCCUCACUAGAGUAUGGGAGAGGAGAUUGGAAUUCCUGGUGUAGAGGUGACAUUCGUAGAUAUCAGGAGGAACACCCGUGGCGAAGGCGAUUCUCUGGACCAAUACUGACGCUGAGACGCGAAAGCGUGGGGAGCAAACAGGAUUAGAUACCCCAGUAGUC